UCCGGAUUAGAUACCCUGGUAGUCCUAGCCGUAAACGAUGGGUGCUAGGUGUGGGGCGGCGAUUGACCCGCUCUGUGCCGACGCUAACGCAUUAAGCACCCCGCCUGGGGAGUACGGCCGCAAGGCUAAAACUCAAAGGAAUUGACGGGGGCCCGCACAAGCGGCGGAGCAUGUGGCUUAAUUCGACGCAACGCGAAGAACCUUACCAGGGCUUGACAUGCGGGGUGAAACCGUGGAAACACGGUGCUCCUUCGGGAGCCCGCACAGGUGCUGCACGGCUGUCGUCAGCUCGUGCCGUGAGGUGUUGCCUUAAGUGGCGCAACGAGCGCAACCCCUGUUCCAUGUUGCCAGCGAGUAAUGUCGGGGACUCAUGGGAGACUGCCGGUGCCAAACCGGAGGA
This 400-nucleotide unclassified non-coding RNA is filed under the name uncultured Actinomycetes bacterium. Its description in RNAcentral is "uncultured actinobacterium contains 16S-23S intergenic spacer region". It matches the Rfam family "Bacterial small subunit ribosomal RNA", at positions 772 to 1170 of the family's 1533-position model. Lineage: Bacteria; Bacillati; Actinomycetota; Actinomycetes. The record is from RNAcentral.